AUAAUAGUUUCUCAGCAUCAACCCUCACAUAGCAUAUCUAUUUUUCUAGUUUUGUUAUUCCUGGCAACUGAAACCCACGAGGACUUUCUCUUCAUAAUCCACAGGUUUCACUCCCCUACAACAAUUCUGAGUACUCAUCAAAUAUCCUAUUUCUUCUUCUUUAUCGAUGGAAUCACACAGCUCUCCUUUCCAUCCUCUGCAGUCUGAUAUGUGCAUGAGAGAGCAAGCAGAACAUUUUCUGUGCUCCAGAGUGGAGAAGGCCCCAAACUAUGCUGCAGCAAG
RNAcentral lists this long non-coding RNA (282 nucleotides) under Numida meleagris (helmeted guineafowl). RNAcentral's name for it is "lncRNA (ENSNMEG00000015631.1)". Lineage: Eukaryota; Metazoa; Chordata; Aves; Galliformes; Numididae. The record is from RNAcentral.